UACGGAGGAUGCGAGCGUUAUCCGGAUUUAUUGGGUUUAAAGGGUGCGUAGGCGGACUUUUAAGUCAGCGGUAAAAAUGCGGUGCUCAACGCCGUAGUGCCGUUGAAACUGAGAGUCUUGAGUGAGCGAGAAGUAUGCGGAAUGAGUGGUGUAGCGGUGAAAUGCAUAGAUAUCACUCAGAACACCGAUUGCGAAGGCAGCAUACCGGCGCUCAACUGACGCUGAGGCACGAAAGCGUGGGGAUCGAACAGG
This 252-nucleotide ribosomal RNA is filed under the name uncultured bacterium. Its description in RNAcentral is "partial 16S ribosomal RNA". It matches the Rfam family "Bacterial small subunit ribosomal RNA", at positions 524 to 776 of the family's 1533-position model. The record is from RNAcentral.